RNAcentral lists this ribosomal RNA (410 nucleotides) under uncultured bacterium. RNAcentral describes it as "bacterial SSU rRNA". It matches the Rfam family "Bacterial small subunit ribosomal RNA", at positions 28 to 430 of the family's 1533-position model. The record is from RNAcentral.
GACGAACGCUGGCGGUGUGCUUAACACAUGCAAGUGGAGCGACGAACCAGGGCUUGCCCUGGGGCAGAGCCGCGAACGGGUGAGUAACACGUGGGUAACGUACCCCGAUCACCGGGACAACCCGAGGAAACUCGGGCUAAUACCGGAUGUGUCCGUGAAUCAUGAGGUUCACGUGCAAAGGAAGCUUCGGCCUCCGGAUCGGGAGCGGCCCGCGGCCCAUUAGCCUGUUGGUGGGGUAACGGGCCUACCAAAGCGACGAUGGGUAGCUGGUCUGAGAGGACGAUCAGCCACACUGGGACUGAGACACGGCCCAGACUCCUACGGGAGGCAGCAGUGGGGAAUCUUGCGCAAUGCGCGAAAGCGUGACGCAGCAACACCGCGUGAGGGAAGACGGCCUCGUGUACGUACGU